AACGAACGCUGGCGGCAGGCCUAACACAUGCAAGUCGAGCGCUCUCUUCGGAGGGAGCGGCGGACGGGUUAGUAACGCGUGGGAAUGUACCCUUCUCUAAGGAAUAGCCAUUGGAAACGAUGAGUAAUACCUUAUACGCCCCCCGGGUCAAACUGGGGGGAAAGAUUUAUCGGAGAGGGAUCAGCCCGCGUAAGAUUAGAUAGUUGGUGGGGUAAUGGCCUACCAAGUCUACGAUCUUUAGCUGGUUUUAGAGGAUGAUCAGCAACACUGGGACUGAGACACGGCCCAGACUCCUACGGGAGGCAGCAAUGGGGAAUCUUGGACAAUGGGCGCAAGCCUGAUCCAGCCAUGCCGCGUGAGUGAUGAAGGCCUUAGGGUCGUAAAGCUCUUUCGCCAGAGAUGAUAAUGACAGUAUCUGGUAAAGAAGUCCCGGCUAACUCCGUG
RNAcentral lists this ribosomal RNA (444 nucleotides) under uncultured bacterium. RNAcentral describes it as "bacterial SSU rRNA". It matches the Rfam family "Bacterial small subunit ribosomal RNA", at positions 29 to 507 of the family's 1533-position model. The record is from RNAcentral.